This 484-nucleotide ribosomal RNA is filed under the name uncultured bacterium. RNAcentral describes it as "partial 16S ribosomal RNA". It matches the Rfam family "Bacterial small subunit ribosomal RNA", at positions 899 to 1397 of the family's 1533-position model. The record is from RNAcentral.
ACUCAAAGGAAUUGACGGGGACCCACACAAGCGGUGGAGCAUGGGGUUUAAUUCGAUAAUAAGCGAAGAACCUCACCCAGGCUUGACAUCCUAGGAAUCCUCCAGAAACGGAGGAGUGCCGCAAGGAACCUAGAGACAGGCGCUGCACGGUCGUCGUCAGCUCGUGCCUUGAGGUGUACUGUUAAGUCAGCGAACGAGCGCAACCCUCAUCCUAUGUUGAUUUUUCAUGGGAGACUGCCGCCUCCAAGGCGGAGGAAGGUGGGGAUGACGUCAGAUCAGCGUGGCCCUUAUGCCUGGGGCAACACCCGUGCUACAAUGGCCGAUACAAAGAGCCGCGAACCCGCAAGGGGGAGCCAAUCUCACAAAGUCGGUCUCAGUUCGGAUUGCAGUCUGCAACUCGACUGCAUGAAGUUGGAAUCGCUAGUAACCGUGAAUCAGCUACGUCACGGUGAAUAUGUUCCUGGGUCUUGUACACACCGCCCGU